GGGCCCGCACAAGCGGUGGAGCAUGUGGUUUAAUUCGAUGAUACGCGAGGAACCUUACCAGGGCUUAAAUGUAAGUUGCAUAGAUCAGAGAUGGUCUUUUCUUCGGACUACUUACAAGGUGCUGCAUGGUUGUCGUCAGCUCGUGCCGUGAGGUGUCAGGUUAAGUCCUAUAACGAGCGCAACCCCUGUCGUUAGUUACCAGCAAGUAAUGUUGGGUACUCUAGCGAGACUGCCGGUGCAAACCGUGAGGAAGGUGGGGAUGACGUCAAAUCAUCACGGCCCUUACGUCCUGGGCUACACACGUGCUACAAUGGCCGGUACAGAGAGCAGCCACUACGCGAGUAGGAGCGAAUCCACAAACACUAUCUCAGUUCGGAUCGGAGUCUGCAACUCGACUCCGUG
This 402-nucleotide ribosomal RNA is filed under the name uncultured bacterium. Its description in RNAcentral is "bacterial SSU rRNA". It matches the Rfam family "Bacterial small subunit ribosomal RNA", at positions 917 to 1322 of the family's 1533-position model. The record is from RNAcentral.